Molecule: microRNA, 23 nt
Filed under: Ictalurus punctatus (channel catfish)
Lineage: Eukaryota; Metazoa; Chordata; Actinopteri; Siluriformes; Ictaluridae
Description: ipu-miR-7573
Source: miRBase by way of RNAcentral
AGGCUGAGCCUGAUGGCACUGAG